AUGCGAAGGACCACCGCGACCAAUGCCAAUGGCGCCCGCGGAACUCUGGCGGCGGCCUUGACCCUGCCGGCAUUGGCGGAGGAGUCGCUAAGCGACCACUCCUCGCUGAUCUUGGCAAGCUCGCCGUCUAGGCGACGGUGCCACCUGGUGGUGGUCUCCACGGUUGUGACGGAGCGAUCGAGGGCCAAUGCAGCGGUGAGGUCGGGGUCUUCGCGAACCCAUUCCGGUGACGUUUGGACUCUGCGAACGCGAAGCGGCGUUGGGCCGGUCGUACCGGGCCCGUUGCCUCGCCGCACGCUACUCCUCGGAGACGACGACCCUCGAGUCCGUGGGACCGCCAUAACCGCCUCCUGCGAGGUCGUGGAGGAUGCUACCCCGCGCCUUCGUGAUCACGGGCGGUAG
This 402-nucleotide ribosomal RNA is filed under the name Triticum aestivum (bread wheat). RNAcentral describes it as "partial small subunit ribosomal RNA". Lineage: Eukaryota; Viridiplantae; Streptophyta; Magnoliopsida; Poales; Poaceae. The record is from RNAcentral.